GUGCCGUAGACAGGGCCGGCCCACAGGCGUGAGGCCAGAGUUAGUGGUGAGCUCCUGUGGGUCUGCACUGCACCCCAACCAUGGACAGGCAGUGUUCUGAAAGGCCAUACAGCUGCACCCCGACGGGUAGAGUGUCGUCAGCCGUGUCCCAAAACUCCAGAAUCUCCCCCCCUGUCUCCACAUCCAUGAAGGACUCAUCUUGCAUGAAGGUACACCAGGACUCUGCCCGCAGGGACAGAUGGUCACACCCCACCACCAUCCUGCUUCACAAGUCGCAGAGCAGCCAGGCCACACUGAUGCUACAGGAGCACAGGAUGUUCAUGGGGGAAGCCUACAGUGCAGCCACCGGCUUCAAGAUGCUGCAGGACAUGAACAGUGCUGACCCCUUCCACUUGAAGUACAUCAUCAAGAAGAUCAAGAACAUGGCUCAUGGCUCCCCCAAGCUGGUGAUGGAAACCAUCCACGACUACUUCAUAGACAACCCAGAGAUCUCCAGCAGGCACAAGUUCCGGCUGUUCCAGACCCUGGAGAUGGUCAUCGGGGCCAGUGACGUCCUGGAGGAGACCUGGGAGAAAACUUUCACACGGCUCGCUCUGGAGAACAUGACCAAGGCCACGGAGCUGGAAGACAUAUACCAGGACGCGGCCAGCAACAUGCUGGUGGCCAUCUGCAGGCACUCGUGGCGGGUGGUGGCGCAGCAUCUGGAGACGGAGCUCCUGACGGGCGUCUUCCCACACAGAAGCCUCCUCUACGUGAUGGGCGUCCUGUCCUCCAGCGAGGAGCUCUUCAGCCAGGAAGACAAGGCCUGCUGGGAAGAGCAACUGAUCCAGAUGGCCAUCAAGUCAGUCCCGUUCCUGAGCACGGAUGUGUGGUCCAAGGAGCUGCUGUGGACACUCACCACGCCCAGCUGGACCCAACAGGAGCAGUCCCCUGAGAAGGCCUUCCUGUUUACCUACUAUGGGCUAAUCCUUCAAGCUGAAAAAAAUGGUGCCACGGUCAGGAGACACCUGCAAGCCCUCCUGGAAACAUCCCACCAGUGGCCCAAGCAGAGGGAGGGCAUGGCUCUGACCUUGGGGCUGGCGGCCACACGCCACCUGGAUGACGUCUGGGCCGUCCUGGACCAGUUUGGCAGGAGCAGGCCCAUCAGAUGGAGUCUCCCCAGCUCCUCCCCAAAGAACUCGGAGGACCUGCGCUGGAAAUGGGCCAGCAGCACCAUCCUCCUGGCAUACGGCCAGGUGGCAGCCAAAGCCCGGGCCCACAUCCUCCCGUGGGUGGACAACAUCGUGUCCAGGAUGGUCUUCUACUUCCACUACAGCUCUUGGGACGAGACCCUGAAGCAGAGCUUCCUCACAGCCACCCUGAUGCUGAUGGGUGCGGUGAGCCGGAGUGAGGGCGCCCACAGCUACGAGUUCUUCCAGACCUCUGAGCUCCUCCAGUGUCUGAUGGUUUUGAUGGAGAAGGAGCCCCAGGACACUCUGUGCACGCGGAGUCGCCAGCAGGCCAUGCACAUCGCGUCCAGCCUCUGCAAGCUGAGGCCUCCCAUAGACUUGGAAAGGAAGUCUCAGCUCCUGUCCACCUGCUUCCGCAGCGUGUUUGCCCUGCCACUGCUGGAUGCCCUGGAGAAGCACACCUGCCUCUUUCUGGAGCCUCCCAACAUCCAGCUGUGGCCCGUGGCUCGGGAGCGGGCAGGCUGGACGCACCAGGGCUGGGGACCCAGGGCAGUUCUUCACUGCUCUGAGCACCUACAGAGCCUGUACAGCAGGACCAUGGAGGCGCUGGACUUCAUGCUGCAAAGCCUCAUCAUGCAGAACCCCACCGCCGACGAGCUGCAUUUCCUGCUGUCGCACCUGUACAUCUGGCUGGCGUCGGAGAAGGCGCAUGAGCGGCAGCGGGCUGUGCACAGCUGCAUGAUCCUCCUCAAAUUCCUGAACCACAAUGGCUACUUGGACCCAAAAGAGGACUUCAAAAGGAUUGGGCAAUUGGUGGGCAUACUGGGGAUGCUGUGCCAGGACCCAGACAGGGCCACCCAGCGCUGCAGCCUGGAAGGGGCAAGCCAUCUCUACCAGCUCUUGAUGUGCCACAAAACAGGAGAAGCUUUGCAGGCAGAAUCACAGGCCCCCAAGGAGCUCUCCCAGGCCCAUUCGGACGGAGCCCCACUCUGGAACAGCAGAGACCAGAAGGCCACUCCCCUGGGCCCCCAGGAGAUGGCAAAGAACCACAUCUUCCAGCUCUGCAGCUUCCAAGUCAUCAAGGAUAUCAUGCAGCAGCUCACACUGGCAGAGUUGAGCGACCUCAUCUGGACGGCCAUCGACGGCCUGGGCUCCACCAGCCCCUUCCGCGUGCAGGCAGCCUCCGAGAUGCUGCUCACAGCCGUCCAGGAGCACGGGGCCAAGCUGGAGAUCGUUUCCAGCAUGGCCCAGGCCAUCCGCCUCCGCCUGUGCUCUGUCCACAUCCCGCAAGCCAAGGAAAAGACCCUGCACGCCAUCACCCUGCUGGCCCGGAGCCACACCUGUGAGCUGGUGGCCACCUUCCUGAACAUCUCCAUCCCCUUGGACAGCCACACCUUCCAGCUGUGGAGGGCCCUGGGGGCUGGGCAGCCCACGAGCCACCUGGUGCUGACCACACUGCUGGCCUGUCUGCAGGAGCGACCCCUGCCCACCGGUGCCAGCGACAGCAGCCCCUGCCCCAAGGAGAAGACCUACCUGCGUUUGCUGGCUGCCAUGAACAUGCUGCACGAGCUGCAGUUUGCCCGGGAGUUCAAGCAGGCCGUGCAGGAGGGCUACCCCAAGCUCUUCCUGGCCCUCCUCACCCAGAUGCACUAUGUCUUGGAGCUGAACCUGCCCAGCGAGCCCUAGCCCAAGCAGCAGGCCCAGGAGGCGGCCGUGCCCAGCCCCCAAAGCUGCAGCACGUCACUGGAGGCACUGAAGAGCCUGCUGUCCACCACGGGGCACUGGCAUGACUUUGCCCACCUGGAGCUGCAGGGAUCCUGGGAGCUCUUCACCACCAUCCACACCUACCCGAAGGGCGUGGGCCUCCUUGCCAGGGCCAUGGUGCAGAACCACUGCAGGCAGAUCCCAGCGGUGCUGCGUCAGCUGCUGCCCAGCCUGCAGAGCCCACAGGAGCGUGAGAGGAAGGUGGCCAUCCUCAUCCUCACCAAGUUCCUCUACAGCCCUGUCCUGCUGGAGGUGCUUCCCAAACAAGCUGCCUUGACCGUGCUGGCACAAGGCCUCCACGACCCCAGCCCUGAGGUCCGCGUGUUGAGUCUGCAGGGCCUAAGCAACAUCCUCUUCCACCCAGAUAAGGGAAGCCUGCUCCAGGGACAGCUGCGGCCCUUGCUCGACGGCUUCUUCCAGAGCAGCGACCAGGUGAUCGUGUGCAUCAUGGGCACCGUGUCAGACACGCUGCACCGCCUGGGCGCGCAGGGCACAGGGAGUCAGAGCCUCGGCGUUGCCAUCAGCACACGCUCCUUCUUUAAUGACGAGCGGGACGGGAUUCGGGCGGCAGCCAUGGCACUGUUCGGGGACCUGGUGGCGGCCAUGGCAGACAGGGAGCUGAGCGGCCUGCGGACCCAGGUGCACCAGAGCAUGGUGCCCCUGCUCCUACACCUGAAGGACCAAUGCCCAGCUGUCGCCACGCAGGCCAAGUUCACCUUCUACCGCUGUGCUGUGCUGCUCCGCUGGCGGCUACUGCACACCCUCUUCUGCACGCUGGCCUGGGAGAGGGGCCUCAGCGCCCGCCACUUCCUCUGGACCUGCCUGAUGACCCGCAGCCAGGAGGAAUUCAGCAUCCACUUGUCACAGGCCCUCAGCUACCUGCACAGCCACUCCUGCCACAUCAAGACCUGGGUGACACUCUUCAUAGGCCACACCAUCUGCUACCACCCCCAGGCCGUGUUCCAGAUGCUGAAUGCUGUGGACACCAACCUGCUGUUCCGCACUUUUGAACAUCUCAGAAGUGACCCUGAGCCCAGCAUCCGGGAAUUCGCCACCAGCCAGCUCUCCUUCCUCCAGAAGGUGUCGGCCAGACCCAAGCAGUGACCUCCAGCCAUCCUCCCCCACCCACCGCCUUCCCCUCCCGUGUCCACCUGGUCAGCCCUGCCCCAUCCGCCCCCCACAGAGCUUGGUUGCAUAACGUUUUUCCAUUUGAAAGAAAGAUCUAGAUUCAACAAAA
RNA transcript from Homo sapiens (human), 4170 nucleotides. It is a transcript of the gene named maestro heat like repeat family member 5 (gene/pseudogene), transcript variant 1, non-coding, with no coding region annotated. NCBI's taxonomy places the organism in Eukaryota, Metazoa, Chordata, Mammalia, Primates, Hominidae. The transcript is spliced from 30 exons. The record is from RefSeq and is marked validated.